This 4738-nucleotide long non-coding RNA is filed under the name Sus scrofa (pig). RNAcentral's name for it is "lncRNA (ENSSSCG00000060441.1)". The record is from RNAcentral. Lineage: Eukaryota; Metazoa; Chordata; Mammalia; Artiodactyla; Suidae.
GGGGGGGAGAAAAUUAAAUAAAUAUAGUAAAAGAGCGAGGAGGGGCCAACCUGCUUUGGGCCAAGAAGGGCAAUAAAGGAGUCUUUAUAACCGCCGGGUGGUGGAAUACUCUCUUCUCCCCCACCCCGCCAAGCAGAAUGUCAAAUUCUGUCCCCCCCUUUUUUCCCCCCUCUUAAAGCAUGCUAAAAGGAAAAUUCUUCACAGAAUCUUAAAGAACUUUUUUGACACAACAGCUGCAAAAUCUAUUUUCUAAACAAAGAUUUAUACAUAUUUAUAUGAGCUUAAUCCAGAUUUUUUUUAAUAAAUCAUCCUCAGAACUGCAGAGGUAAACUAUAUGUAAAUACCUCAAGUAAUAGGCUUGUAGUGCAAAUCACAUCAUUUUAUCUUCAAUUUUGCAUUCGUUUUUCUGGCUUAAAGGUGCAUCAGAGAUAUGCAUUUUAGCAUAUUCAGAACACGGGGCGUGAAAUUAAAUGUUUGACAGAGUGAGAAAAAUAUACAGACUUUGGAGAUGCCUUAAAAAUAGUAAUUUAUGCAGAUCUAGAGGAGUGAAAUCAUUUGCAAUGGAGUGACCCUCUCUCCAGGAAUUUUGUGCUCAGUGUUCUUCCCUAAUCUCCCGCUGUAUCUUCAUUUUUCAUUGAACUAGCCAGUUUUCUGCGAAGCCGUCUUGUAGAUAAGGGCAGUGCUAAAGAAGAAGAAAGAGGACGCUCGGUGGGUCCGUUUCCAUUGCACUUUUACCCAAGGCAAUGGGCAGAAUUUAACGGAUUCCUUCCAACAUAUGUUUUUGCCAGAUAAGUAAACAGUGUGUGUCGGAAAUGAAAAAGCAUUUGCAAUUUAAUGACAUUACAGCUCUCAGCUUAGGCUGGCGUGCUGCGAGGCGAAAAGCAGAAAAAGAGAGGAGAGUAGAAAGAGAAAAAGAACAAAGUUCAUCUUCCCUUUUGUGCAUUUUUAUCAAGGAAAAUAUUACUUCUUUCCCCCUUUUGUUCUCUUUUUUCUUUUUCGUCUUUUGGCUUUUUUGUCUCACUCAUUUACAUUUUUUUUCUUUUCUGCCUUUCUGUCCUCUGUUCACUUUUGCCUUUUUCUCAUAUUGCCACUGACUCAUUUCUUCUUUCCUCUCCAUUGUGCGUCCUUAUUCAUCUAUUGGGGCCAUUCAGUUUUACCUUAGAAGAAGCUGUUUAUCCCACAAUGUAUCUUUUCUCCUGUGUUGUACUCCUAGUGCUAUAGCUCACAGUCAACAGGAUCGUCAGGGAUUAUAACGUUUCAUUUCAAAGCGCUACAAAUCUGCUCUCUUGCCUUCCGUCCCUGCCCCGGUUUCCUCUGAUACUUGUCCUUUUAUUUUGCAUUCAUUUUGGUCUUUCAUUUCACCCCCAGACAUCACAGCACCCCAAGGUCUAACCACUGAUACUCACUGUCUUUGCACUGUGUGGCAAUACUUCCAGGUUCUAGAAACGUCCCCCUGGGGAUAGCAGAAUUGUUCUCUCAUGCCCUUGGUCAGGUUCUGAGGGGGUGUGACCAGUGACCGUGUGGUCAGAAUUGGUCCUUCCAGGGCCUGGUGACCAGGACAGGGUGUCCUCCAGUGGAUGCUUAUAAUGAGCCAUCUUCCAAUGGAAAAGGAGCCCCACACCUUGCAGCUGCAUCUGCUGCUCCUUUUCCUUUGUGUGAGGGCAGUUCCUGAAAUACGUGUAUAUUUGAGUUCUGUGAUUGUGUAAUUGAGUGUGUACGUGUGUCUGCAUUGGAGUAUGUGAUGAGUGUGUACAGAUUGUGUGUUGAAGGCAGUGUACUCUCUUUGAAUACAGGCAUAUAGAAAGAUAUGACAUAUCUUCCAGAUGUGAAUCUACCUUAAAUUCCAGCAGUAAAAGUUGAGUGGACCAAUAUUUUCUCCUUACUUAGGUCCGUAGCAUUUUUAGGUCUAGGGUUAUUUCGAUUGUCCCUUUUGCAAGGAAAAAUAAGAUUUUGCACCCAGUCCCAUUUUUGUGACAGACCACGUAGACACCCAAGACACCCUGUUUAGGAGAAAGGCAUGUCUCUUGAGUCAUUUUUGCUGCCUUGCGUUGUCGGUCUGUCAAUCUAAGCAGUUCCUGAAGGAACAACUUUUAAUAUGAAGAUUAGUACUCAUGGUUGCCUUAUAUUUUUGCAAAACAAGUUCACAUUAUUUUAGAUAUUGCCGUCAUGAACAUUUGAAUAUUAUUAGCAUUCCAGAUGUUUAACAUAAAUUCCAUUCCGAGAAUACACGUGAAAGUUCCUGGUUAACCUGCAGGUUGAGCAUAAUUGAAAGGACCUGUAAUCAAAUUGCAGGCCCUAUCGCAGAAAUACUCUACAGACUUUAAAAAGAUGCUUAAAUAAAAUGCUCUUGUCUAAAGCCAUGUGCAUGUUUUUACCAUAAAAUUACAUCUUCCACAUCUUCCAGAUCCAGCACUUGGUAAGUAAAAAGAAAAUCUAUUUGGACAUAAGGAUGGAAAGUAGCUGGAGGUGGUAAUUUAAUCAACCAAGGAUAUAUUUCAAUGUUUUUUCUGGUCUUCUAGGCAUUAGCACUUUAAAUUCAUUAUGUCGGUUUGACAGAUAUAUGCAGCCUUAAGGAUCUAAAAAUGAAAUCCUAGAAGUAUAGCCUGCUAGAGGAUAUAUAUUGAACUUAAGAGAUUAAAAUGGUAUAACCAUUGCAACAGAAUGGAACAUAUCGCGUUUCUCAUUUUUUCCUCGCUAAGCACGAGUAUUUUGCAGAUGUAAAAUACAGUCUUGUCUAAUUAGAAAACCUGGCUCAGGCGCUGUCGCUUUCUAACUUUUACACUGAUGAAGUGGAUAUUAGAAAGAAAAUGUGGGCUUCACGGACAGUCUGAAGAUGAAGAAGUCUUCCAUUUGGGAUUUUCUAUAUCAAUAAUUUAUUAAGGAAAAUGACACAAGUCGUUACAUGCAGCCUGCUAUGAAGAGGCUUGCUUGCAUGCUUUUCCUGUUUAAGGCACAUCACAAAAGAGCCAAAUUAUAAAGCAGGUCUUAACGUCACUGAGACGUUACAUCUACUCUAUCAUUAUGCCAAUUUAGUAACAUUAAUGAUCUGUAAUAUUAAUUCAUCAUCCUGGAAAAUGGGGAAGGGUUGCCGUCAUUAACUGAAUUAAGCCCCAAUUAAAAAGUCAUCCAAGCAGUUGUGAAGAUUCGAACGCUGAUACUGGUGUUCGUUAUACUGCAGACCUUUCUGACCACGGAAAUCUUGUACAUGAGACUGUUACAAACAGCCCCUCACUUUGAAUUCAGAUAUGUCAAAAGAGCAGCCACCCACGGAGGCGGUGGCACCGACUAGACGCCUUAUCAGCCUUUUCCAUCACCGACUGUGGUUUAACACUUUCUUACAGGGAGAAUCAGCCUUGAAAGAGGUACAACCUUUUAGCAUAUCUACUUUAAUUCUUCGCAGGGAAGCCAAAGUGGGCUGUCUGGCGCAACUCACAUCUGUCCUACAGACUCUCUCUUCCCCCGAGAUUAGGGUCGUCUUUGAAAAUCACAUUCCAAACCGCACAAAAUGAACAUUUUGAGGUGUUAAAAUGGAGAUCCUGUAACGUCUUAGCCUAAAUCCCAGUCGCCUCCCAUCGGGUGCCCACAAGCCCCUAGUUCUCCUCCCCACCUAUUCAAAGUCUCUGUUGCGGGUGGGAGUCUUUGAGUCACAGACAAUAUCAAGUGAAAGAUAAAUGGGACCGAGAAAGGGGUGAGCUGCAGCCGAAAUGACAGCCGAUCUGAACCAUCCAGUCCAAGGACCCCCUUUACCUCUGAUGGGGAAGAUCAGCUGGUGAUAAAGGACUGUUUCCUCCCGCAUCCCAACUUUUCUUUACACCCACUGUUGUUGGUCUUGCCAUUAGUGAUUGCGAGUCUCUCCGCCUAAAGCAGCGCUUCCUAUGCUGCCGUGUCUCUGUACGAAACACCCGCUGAGAUGCCCUCAUAACCAGGGACCGUCACCGUUGUGGGAAGCUGGGUGAGUGAGGAAGCACUGGUGGCAACUUGCACACACAUGUAACUGAAAGUAAUUAUGACAUCGAAGAGAGCACGUCACUGCCUUGGUCUGGAUAAAGGACGAGGGAUUUGUAUUUGCAGAGAUUCAUCAAGGAUUCCUGUGUGGCUGCUUUUUUUGUUUGUUUAUUUUUUGUGUUUUUCCUUACCAAGCAUAAAGCCCCAUGCAAAUUCAAAAGCACACCUGACACCGCACACCUGAGCAUCUGCACCUGAGGAUGACUCGCAUCUGAUCAAGUCUCUCCAUGAGAAGAAGCUGCACUGAGUCCCUCAGCAGAUUUCUUUUCUCAUACCGUGUGCCUUCGAUCAACACCAUAGUAUGUGCCUUUGUAAAAAACACACAUAUGCUCCCCACUCUGACGUCUGCAAUGUGCCAUAUGCCAGAAAAGUCUUGACAGCGGCAUCCGCGUGCCAUCUUAGUGGCAGCGGACAAAUCACUUGACAAUCUUAGUCUUACUGAUUUGAGUAGUGACACGCCAUUCCAGUUUUCCCACUCCAGGGGAACCAACAACUUGCUCUCCGACAAAAAUCACUGCUCCAUCCUCAUAAGCAAGUAGCCAGUCUAAACAUCCAGCCAAAGAAGAAUCGUUUCCCUCCAUGGAAUGCUGGAAGCUUUAUGACUGUUGGCUGAAAAGGAGUCCCGUCAGGAGUUCCUGCUGUGGUGUCACGGGAUCCGUGGCAUCUCUGGAGCCCUGGGACACAGGUUCGGACCCGGGUUUGAUCUCUGGCCUGGCACAGUGGGUCAAGGAUC